Non-coding RNA from Arachis ipaensis, 574 nucleotides. The record is from RefSeq and is a predicted model, not a curated record. NCBI's taxonomy places the organism in Eukaryota, Viridiplantae, Streptophyta, Magnoliopsida, Fabales, Fabaceae.
AACCAUCAUUCUCAACUGCUACUCAGGAUUCUUCUGCUGAUGAUGAUUUCUCAACAGGGUAUCUUCAAGAUGCUUUGCUUGAAUUCGGGGAUCGUUCCAAACGUAGGCGCUUGUUGCCAAAUGCUGACAAUCAUCAUGAUCAACAAUAUUCCAAGACUAGUAGUAAUGAUCUUGAAAAGAGCUUGUGGAACUUGAACCCCCACAUACUACAUGAACCAGAAUAUAGAAAGCAUUUUUGGACUUUCAGAUGAGGACAUAAUAAGCACAUUUUAGAGCAGAAUAAUGAGAGAGGAAGCAAAGAUUCUUGUAGAAGAAGAGACAACAACAACAACAACUACUAAUACAAUAUUAUCAGGGGAAAUGGAAUUCAUGGUGAGUCUCUUUCUUUGACUUGUAUCUUAAUACAUGGUCCUAGUCCUCCUAGUGUUUGCACUGGUUCAUGAUAAUAUAUUCGUUGGAAAUAAUUGCAUAAAUACAUAAUUGGAGUGAAUAUUGAUGUGGUAGCUUUGGAUAUCCUUGAUAGCAAAUUUUACAACUUUUUGGAAUUUAAGUUUUAGAGAUUUUUUAGAGAUAU